This is a long non-coding RNA of Gasterosteus aculeatus aculeatus (three-spined stickleback), 1832 nucleotides long. The record is from Ensembl. NCBI's taxonomy places the organism in Eukaryota, Metazoa, Chordata, Actinopteri, Perciformes, Gasterosteidae.
GUGACCGAAGUAGAGUUUCUCCCUUUGCAACUGUUCAUGGUCGAGGUUGUGUCAGGGCGACACAGAGACAGACAGAGAAGACACAGUGGGAACAGAACAGCAGCAGAGCUCUCAUUCUUACCGGGACGUUAUUGGGUCACGUUUGACAAUCUAUACUUCCGAUCGACCGACAAUCCUUUGAAGUCCUCUGGUUCGCAUCCUCGCCAAGGAGAUAAGUAGAUUUAAAAGUUGAUUGAAUGUCUCGGGUCGGGACCACACACAAAAAAUGGGUCAUGAGGCUGCGCAGGGUGCUUGCUCCUUCUUCUCCUCCUGGGAUUCAAUGGCACCUUGUCUUCACUGCUCUUCUCUCCUGCUCCCUUUUAAUACUAAUCACGCUAUUGUAGCCUGAACUUAAACUCAAACAAUCACGAGGGGGAUGAUAUGCUUCAUAUGAAUCACAGGGGUGUCAAUCUUUUCAUUCAACUCCUGCUGACAAACCAAAUCGAACAUUUCCCCAAAUACUGAAUUACUAUUUUAGAAUAAAAGUAUAAAAAAGAUUGGGAUCUUUCCCAAAAGAAAAUGUAAUCACGGCCACUGGCUCAUUUUCAGCUUUCACCGAAAGGAAAAACCUUUGUGUUGUUCUAUCAGCUUCUUCAUACUGAUUGUAUCUAUUUAUUCCACUGUGAAGAUCCUACGUUUCAGCAGAAAGUCCAACCUCGAGGCUAAGUCUACUUGUCCCAUUUUGUCAGUCUCUUGGGAAAUUAUUAUGAAUAUUAAAGUACAACGUGUGAUUGCAGAUUAGGUGUCAGUUUGUUGGUGUGUCUGAGAUUGUCAUCUAAAACAUUACAGCGUUGGGCUUUUCUCAUUUUUCUUGCACUGAAGGAAUAAUUUUACAAUAUUUCAUGUAUCUGCUUGAACAAAACCAAUAUAUAGACUUCUAGUAAACUUUGGAAGUCCUUGAAUUAAUGGUUAAAUGGUUAUAGAGAGACAAUAUAGACAGGAUUAAUGACUUCAUGUUCCACAAAACUGCCUUCUUCACUCAUCAACAAACCUAGAGAUAAAGGUGAAGGUCUUCAAACACAGGACAGCAGUAUCUGUUUGUUUCUUUCGACAAAUCGUACAACUUUUUUUAGGGUCUUUGACCAAGUUAUCCCGUCCAUAUUGGGGUAUAACGUCCAAGUCUACCAAAGCUUAUCUAAUCUUACUUUUAUCUGGUGCCAAAGUUUGAUUUAACCUUCCUUGACCUCAUCUCUUCCAAUCAAUGUAAAAUGUAUUACUUUGUUCCAGUCAUUUUACCCUGUGAAAGUGAGUUUGUGACCGAUUAAGAUUCCUUUAAUUGUAAUUAAACAUUACAUGGAAGCUUGAAUAACGGCCCCUUUUGAUAAAACGUCUCGUCCUUUACACACAGUCACUCCUUAGAUGAGAUGUGCCAUGUGCCCGAUAUCCUGCAACAUAUCAGAUUUCCAAUUACAAUUUCCCAGCUCUCUUAGUUACCAGUUCAUCAAUGAAUGGGUCAGUUGUAUCUGUUUUGGUUUCAAAGAUAUCAAGAGGGACUGAAAUGUGAUCUCUUAACAUAGUAGCUUGAAUCAAGCUGGAUGUGUGCAGCUCUCACUGUGCAUCACAGUGUGCAUGUUCAAAGAACACGGUCCUACCUCCCUAAACCAUCACUUCGAUUUAGUUACACUCUCUCUCUCUCUCUCUCCACGAUUAUGAGUCACAGUGGUGCUAUAUGCAUGGUCCACAAUGAUAGAAUCCAGAAGGAAUUCCUUUAACUGGGUGCACUGACAGCAUUUACACGAGAUGGCGAAUGACAGCAGACAUUGUCACGUGCACAAGGUACCUGCUCUCCUGUG